CGUGUGGAUCACUUAUGAAUUAUUGUGAUAUUUUUAUAUGCUGUUUGGACUCUCAUUCUGACGGCACUCGUUUACUGAAGAUAUCAAUUUCGAUGAAGAAACAAUCUCAUCUAAAACUUGCAUGGCCUGAGGAAGAAAGGCCUACACGUUUGAAACAUCAAGAAGGGAAAGAGAGAGGAGGGGAACCCUGAGUCUGCCAUAAGAUACACGUCCUAUCAGUUGAUAUCCAGCAGUGAUUCAGACAAAUGAGUCGUAGAUGAGACGCCUCAGUCGAUGAGAAAUGCAACGUGAGUGUGCUUCUUCUGGGCCCUCCAAAGCAUGACAAACAUCUUAAUCAGUCUCAAAGAGGAAUAGUUCCUUUGAAAAACAGACAAAUAUCAGACAGCAGUCAGACUUAAGACAUAUGCUCGCGCUGUGACAGGAAAUAAUGCUGCAGAGCAUCAUUUCACAAUGCAUGUAAUUAUCAAGAUAUGCCUGCAAAUACUUCAUCAGUGCACUUAAAGUUUACUGAGUUGAACUUGUUGUGAAAACAAUGGGGAGAGAUUUUGGGAUGCUCUGGCCUCUAAAAUAAGAUCUGAAAGCUAUACCUAUAUAAGACUUGAUUUUUCUAUCUUAAAAAAUUGCUAGGAACUAGGAUUGUGAGUAAUGCAAA
Carassius carassius (crucian carp) is the source of this 652-nucleotide long non-coding RNA. RefSeq lists it as uncharacterized. The transcript is spliced from 3 exons. The record is from RefSeq and is a predicted model, not a curated record. NCBI's taxonomy places the organism in Eukaryota, Metazoa, Chordata, Actinopteri, Cypriniformes, Cyprinidae.